GAGGGUAUAGCUCAGUGGUAGAGUUCAUGGCUAGCAUGCACAAGGUCCUGGGUUCAAUCCCCAGUUAUCUCC
Molecule: transfer RNA, 72 nt
Filed under: Camelus bactrianus (Bactrian camel)
Lineage: Eukaryota; Metazoa; Chordata; Mammalia; Artiodactyla; Camelidae
Also listed under: 2 other names
Rfam family: tRNA
About the family: Transfer RNA (tRNA) molecules are approximately 80 nucleotides in length. Their secondary structure includes four short double-helical elements and three loops (D, anti-codon, and T loops).
Source: Rfam by way of RNAcentral